UUAUGCUCACAUGUAUAAUGUAAUUGAAGAAAUUCUGUUUUCCGUUUGGUCUUUUGUAUUUCCUUAGAAAAGACAUAGACUGUCAUUUCCUUGUUUGUUUCCUGGCUAACUUAUGCUACUUCCCAUUAUCUGUAAAAAUGUUAUGGUUACAAGGAUCAUUUUACUAUAGGUCCUUUCGGUGUAAGGGUCUACUCAAGGGUGAUACAUUGAAUUUUGACGUAAGCAUAGUGCAGAAGGGAUUCUGAUGUUGUCUCUUGUGGGAGAUAUCAUGUCGUUACAUAAUUUGCAAUAAGUAUUUAUUUUACGUUGGUGUAUAGAAUUUAGCUUUUGAAUUGAAAUUGCUUGAGAUUCUGAUCCUUCCAUAUCUGAAGUUACUUCGGUUCUAAAUCGCUUGCAAUUCAGAAAAGGUUUCUUAUGCAAUAUUGAGUGCUACAUUGGAACUUACAGAGGAACAAUGCGCCUCAUUUUUAUCUAAUGUAACUCUUCACGGGGUUGCAGAAGUUUAGUUGUCUUCUCCUAUAUGUGUGUUGCAGAAGAAACAACUGAAUGGACAGUAAAAGGGUUCUUUUCUUCUAAGUAAAUACAUCAUUCAACUGCACUCAUAUAUCAAGUUACUCCAGCUACGUAUACUUACGUGUGUUCUCUUUACACCAAAAUAUAAAUGAAAAAAAUGACUGUUUUCAUACUACAUUACUCUCGCUAUUUUAGAAUGCACUCUCAUUCUCUCAUUACAGAUGAGCCAAAAAGGGCGCAGUGCCAUUGUUCUGAAGCUGUUUUUCUUUUGGUGCCAUCUUCUGUAAUGUCUAACUUGUUACUGCUUCUCCGCUGUCCGUUAUAAAACUUCUACGUUGUUGAAUAUCAAGAAUGCCUGCCCAAAGCUCUGAAGCAGACCUGAAAGCAACAGGAUAUGUCAAUAUACAAGCUACACCAACUUAACACAUCCACCUCCUUCUCUGUAAGUUAUUUGCCGAUAAAAUUGUAUCUCGCACUACACCGAAGUAAGGAAUGCUAUUUCCUCUGUUGCCAUUGUAUGUCCAAUUUUCUCCCAUACUUCGCUCUUAACCCUGUAGUUAUUACUUUAGCAUGGUCUCACUGUAGGAGAUUUCUGUGAGGGAAAAAAAUAAGGAAUAAAGAAAUGAGUGAAAACUCAGCUUGAUUCCCUCAAGCUACUAGGUCUUAAAUAGUGAAUAUACAAGUGCUAAGAUAGGAAGGAAAAUGUUUUACCUGACGACAUCUUUUUCGGCAGGGCUGACUGGGCUUUGGUUGUCGGAAGAUGCCUGACAUAGUAGUGGUGUUGGUUUAGAAGGAAAUUGAAACAACUUCGGAGUCGCCGGACAAUUGCACUACGACGAUCUUUCUUUCUUUCUUCCGGAAGUCGCAAGUUGUGCAUCGAUUAUUCUCUAACCUCGCUCUUUGUGAAAACUCAGUUUGAUUAUUCUGUCAAGCUGCUGGGUCUUAAAUAGUGAAUACACAAGUGCUAAGAUAGGAAGGAAAAUAUUUUACCUAAUUACAUAAUCAAUCUUAUUAAAUCUGACUUUUCCUAAUUGAUAGACAGUAUCAUUUACAAUAUUCCUACAACAUUUUAACAUUUUCACUACUCCGUGCCAUCCGGCCGACCCUCACCCCUUAUGAAGCAAUUGUAUAGUUUCUGUAAGAACUCCUCAAUCUCCCAAUCUCAGUUAUAAAUGGCCCUUUUGAAAUAAUAUCUUGAAUAAUAUCCUGACUAUCUAUCUUACGGUAGUCAGCCAUUGUAACCUCCAUGUUAAACUAAACCUAAAUAUGUGGAUGUGCCUCCUGCAAAGUUGUUUCUCCACUCCAAAAUCCUUCCAGGAUAAUAGUUUCUUUUUAUUAUAGUGCUAACAGCUAUCCGAUGUGCCCUGUGAACCUAUAUCUUCCCUUCAUGAUCCUCUUUGGCACACUUACCCCAUAAGAGUCCAUCGUCUCACCCGGAAAGAUCUAAUGUUGUCUAAUUUCAUAUUAGGCUAUUAAGUGUUCUUCCAACAAGUGAAUCUCCACACCCACUACUCAGUAUUUCGGCAUUGAAAUUAGAUAAUUUCCGGAUCUAUAGUUCCCCUUCCCACAAGAUCCCCUUCAUCUGUGGGAAAUUUUAUCUUCUUGUCAACCACAUUCUACCAAAAAUUUCUCUGCACCCUCAUUUCCUUCGUACGAGAAGUCUCUCAUAUUUUCUCCAAAUUUCCUGCAAUGCCAAAGAAUACAAAAUAAAGACAUAUAUGUGGAUAUGUCGUACUUGUAGACUUCAAUGACGUAAUUUCCCGUCCUUAGACUAAUAUUGUCUCUUCCCACUUGCUCAACCUUUUCUUCAGUUUCUCUUACAAGAGAUCCAUAUCUUUGAUAUUCCUCUCGAGAAGCAACCCCUGAUAUGCUGCUGAUACUGUAACCAACCUUACUGGCAACAUGGUUUUACAAGAUACAGUUUCAGAUAGGGGUUUGGUUCAGGGAACACCAAUAAUCUGUUCACUGAAGAUUCAAGCGACAGGCAUAGAAAUCACAAAUUACGCCUACAAUGGACAUUAGCUGUGAAAUUUCUGUCUGGCCCGGAUACUCAUAGAUUUGUCCAGUGAUAUGAGGAUGGUCAAUUGUGUGUUGGAUUGCAAUUCUCAGAUUUCUUAUGCGGAACUGGAAGAAGUAAUCUGUAUUCAAAAGUCACUUCACUUGAGCAAAAAAUGCAAGCAAGGAUUUGGUGAUCUAAAAACCAGCUAACUAAUUGUCAUGUGCAAUUUCAUUUUACUGCAAUAUUUCAAUUUGAACUCAUCAGCAUGCCCUUCUUUUUAUUUGUCUGCUAAUUUCUUGUUCCACUAUCUUUGGCCAG
Molecule: long non-coding RNA, 2830 nt
Organism: Lycium ferocissimum
Lineage: Eukaryota; Viridiplantae; Streptophyta; Magnoliopsida; Solanales; Solanaceae
Exons: 2
Source: RefSeq, a predicted model, not a curated record